RNAcentral lists this long non-coding RNA (639 nucleotides) under Phaseolus vulgaris (common bean). RNAcentral's name for it is "long non-coding RNA (PVUL_LNC000127)". Lineage: Eukaryota; Viridiplantae; Streptophyta; Magnoliopsida; Fabales; Fabaceae. The record is from RNAcentral.
UGCUAUUGAGGCAUUCUCCCGUGCACUCUUGGCUAUCCCAACUAUCAUUGCUGAUAAUGCUGGUUUGGAUAGUGCCGAGUUGAUUUCUCAGCUCCGUGCCGAGCAUCAGAAGGAGGGCUGUACUGCAGGAAUUGAUGUUAUUUCUGGUUCUGUAAGUAUUGAAACCAAGAGUUUGGUUAAUUUGUUGAAUGAGCAUCAUGAUGUAUGAUAUGCACUCUUGUCGGAAUAUGUUAGAAUUAUUUCAUUUGAUAUGUAAUGUUUUAUCGUCAUCUAUAUUGAGUAUCUGAUUUUUUUGUAUAUAUAGUUUGAUUUGCCUCAUCGAAAUAUAAAAUAUAUGUGUAUGUUCCUGGAGGGUAUGUGCCUAAUGCUGGAUGAGCUAGAACCUAUAAUUAGCGAGUGCGUGUUCAAAUUUAACGUUUUAGCAAGAGCAGAAUUUUACGAUGAUUUAUGUAUAGGCGUAGGUUUUUAGAAAAGUAUCCUGCGUUUCCUUUUUUUGAUUUCCUGUUCUACGUUUACCUGUGUUUUGUUUUUGUUAAAGGUUGGAGACAUGGCCGAACGGGGGAUAUGUGAAGCUUUCAAAGUCAAGCAAGCUGUAUUGCUAUCUUCAACAGAGGCAACUGAGAUGAUCCUGAGAGUUGA